Molecule: long non-coding RNA, 2607 nt
Organism: Triplophysa dalaica
Lineage: Eukaryota; Metazoa; Chordata; Actinopteri; Cypriniformes; Nemacheilidae
Exons: 5
Source: RefSeq, a predicted model, not a curated record
GGCGUUGUUUAUAAUCGCGAAGUUUAUCUUAUUUUUAUCAAUAGGAGCGAGAGAUUUAGUUGUGUUGUGGCGUUGAAUGAUGAAAAAAAAUGGAGACUUGCCAGUGCGCUAAAACCUGUCCACCGCUGUAAAAAAAGAAAAGUAAGUUGACCAGCCAGGCAGCCACAAGGAAACAAGGAAGGAAACCUGCAUCUCAGAUCAUGUGUUGGCCAUGUGAGGUGUAGUUUGGCGGGCGUGGCUGGGCCUGCGGUAUUCCCGCGCUGUGACUACAAAAGGGAAACAUGGCAGGCAGUGGAUGCCACUUCCGAGAGCAGCCAGAAACAGAGCGUGGUUAAACAGUGUACCAGCAACAUGGAGACAUUAGCAGUACAUGCCGCCUGAUGGGAUCUGCCAGGUUGGACGAGGGCGGUUGAGAGGUCAAGACUUCAAGCGCUUCUGAGACAUUGUCUCUAGAAAAGAAAUAGAAACUGAAAGGAAGGGGAGAGAGAGAGAAGCAGGAAAAGAGAGACGAAAAGAAAUGGUCUCAGAGAGAAUGAAGGGACAGUGGAGCAGUGAUGCAGAUGGAAGCACCAGCAUCAUGGAGUUCUCAAUAUGCACAGGAUAGAGUGACGGCUCUGCUUCGGACAUUACAGGAAGAAAAUCCAUCAGGUGGCCCUUGGAAUUUCUCCUAAUUGGUUUUUACAAUCAUACCUUGUUUAAUAUAAUUGGACAGUCAUAUAAGGCUUAUCCUGGUUGUUAUGCUGGGCUAUUUUUACCUUGUUUAUUGUAAGUCAAUUCGGUUCCUGGAAGAUCCUUUUAAUGCCCUGACUUGCAUGUCCAAUAUUAUUAGGUGCUAUGAGUUCAGCUUGUGCAAAUCACUUAAUGCAUAAGUCGGUAAGAGGCUCUGUGCUGGCAGGUCAGACCGAAGGUACAGCAGAUUAAUAUUUGAUCAUGCAGGGUUUGUAAGCACAGCUGAUUGAUCCUUCAGCUGAGUGCCCGGCCUAUUAUCAUAAUUGUUGCCCACCGAACUGACCUCUCACUUUGCCUUACGCUCGUCUGCUUUUCUCUUCCCUUCUUAUCCCGGGCCGCGGGCGGGUAGUGUGUUCCGUGAGACGCGGAUUACUGUACAAUGUUGUGUGCGUUUGAGUGAAUAAAGCAGGAGAAUGGUGCAGUGAAGGGUUAGAUGAGGAUCUUCAGAGGGGACGUUUCCCUCUCUAAGAUUGACUGUGUGUGCGUGUCGACGGGGGCAGUGGGACGUGGUUUGCUUGUGUUAGUGUUUCCGAGGACACACACAUGCUCUAUCCGGGCAGCGUUCGGAGUUAAUCCCCACUCAGCCAUGCUCCACGCUCACACUCCCGCUGUGAGACACACAUACAAUACAACGUGCAAACAUACACACAAACAUGCAAGAAAUACAAAAGACAGAACACUGUUCGUAUCGCCGCAAGACUUGCUCAAGACUACUCAAUAAAUCAUAUUUUUAUUUAUUUAUUUAGGUAUAUAUUUUAUAAUGCUCGAUUUGGUUCUCUUUGUGUUUUUUUUUUGUGUGGUUAUACUGUUACGAAAAAGCCUUAUCAUCUAUAGUCUGUCUAUAUGUUUUUAUUAUUUGACAAAUUAUUUGAGUCUUUAAUGUGUUUAAUAAUAUGUGUUUUAAUUGCAAUAAUUGUUUUUUAUAAAUAAGUUUUGUUAUGAUGUACUGAUCUGCUGAUAUCAUCAGUUGUUAUUUGACAUACUUUUAGAAUACGAAGUGUCUUAGAUGCAGCUUCACUAAUGCAUUGUCUUCCAGAUGAAUUUAUUCUUAUUAUUAAGUAUUAUUAUGUACUUGCCUGGUCAUAAAAUCACAGCAUAUCGACCCCAUGAAGUGACAUGUCAAGUAAAACAGCUUUUAUAAGACUAUUAAUAAGCCUGGAAUAUUUAUCUCAUGUGAAUUUGCUAUACAUGGUUUAAAACAUUUUCAGGAUUACUAUCCUUUUAUUUAAAAAGGAGACCCAUGGCAGACACUAUAAUUUUUUUAAGUCCAUUAGGACAAUUAUCCAAAGGGGCAGAUACCUGUAAUAAUUUCCUAAACUAUUUUCCGAAAAUGUCUUGUGUGCACCUUUUCAAGCACCUCUUUGUCUAAGUGGAAAAAUACUAAACGGCUUUGUAGUUUUUCUAGUUUGUCUGCCUUUGAAGCUGACGGGUAUAAGUGCCAGUGAAUGCAUGAGGCAGCCAGUGCUGUGCCACACUGCGUGUGAGUACUUCCUGUGCCAUGUUUUUUAGUGGUCCGCACAGUCUACCCAUUGGAGGGGCAGGAAGAGAUUGUGAAUGCCAGUGCGCUCCCUGUGAAAGGAUCAGCGGAGGAGAUGUGACUUCAGUUCUGAGGUAUGAAGCACUCUGUUUGUCCCUGUGUGGGCUUCCGUAAUGCACAAUUAGGCAAAGACUGACUGAAGACUGAUGCAGUUUCGCCAAAAAGGUCAAUGCCGCAAACGCAUGCUGUAGAUGGCCCCGCGCGUGCACGGCCUUGUAAAGGCAAAAUAAUUCAAGGGCACUUUUUUGCUUGGUCAUAUAUACUUAAAAUACAUCACUGGGAGGUUUAUAAAUUAAUGUUUUAUCACUUUAAAUUUUAAAAUGCUGUAAAACUUUUUGUAU